Molecule: ribosomal RNA, 465 nt
Filed under: Vreelandella stevensii
Lineage: Bacteria; Pseudomonadati; Pseudomonadota; Gammaproteobacteria; Oceanospirillales; Halomonadaceae
Description: partial 16S ribosomal RNA
Rfam family: Bacterial small subunit ribosomal RNA
Source: RNAcentral
CCUACGGGGUGCAGCAGUGGGGAAUAUUGGACAAUGGGCGAAAGCCUGAUCCAGCCAUGCCGCGUGUGUGAAGAAGGCCUUCGGGUUGUAAAGCACUUUCAGUGGGGAAGAAAGCCUUGGGGCUAAUACCCUCGAGGAAGGACAUCACCCACAGAAGAAGCACCGGCUAACUCCGUGCCAGCAGCCGCGGUAAUACGGAGGGUGCGAGCGUUAAUCGGAAUUACUGGGCGUAAAGCGCGCGUAGGCGGUCUGAUAAGCCGGUUGUGAAAGCCCCGGGCUCAACCUGGGAACGGCAUCCGGAACUGUCAGGCUAGAGUGCAGGAGAGGAAGGUAGAAUUCCCGGUGUAGCGGUGAAAUGCGUAGAGAUCGGGAGGAAUACCAGUGGCGAAGGCGGCCUUCUGGACUGACACUGACGCUGAGGUGCGAAAGCGUGGGUAGCAAACAGGAUUAGAUACCCCCAGUAUC